Larimichthys crocea (large yellow croaker) is the source of this 46-nucleotide non-coding RNA. The record is from Rfam. NCBI's taxonomy places the organism in Eukaryota, Metazoa, Chordata, Actinopteri, Sciaenidae.
CAAUCGGUUCUCCAUAGAACCACAAAAACAGCAAAAAAAGAGUUCU